RNAcentral lists this ribosomal RNA (492 nucleotides) under uncultured bacterium. Its description in RNAcentral is "partial 16S ribosomal RNA". It matches the Rfam family "Bacterial small subunit ribosomal RNA", at positions 29 to 507 of the family's 1533-position model. The record is from RNAcentral.
AGUGAACGCUGGCGGUAGGCCUAACACAUGCAAGUCGAACGGCAGCACAGUAAGAGCUUGCUCUUACGGGUGGCGAGUGGCGGACGGGUGAGGAAUACAUCGGAAUCUACUUUUUCGAGGGGGCUAACGUAGGGAAACUUACGCUAAUACCGCAUACGACCUACGGGUGAAAGCAGGGGAUCUUCGGACCUUGCGCGAUUGAAUGAGCCGAUGUCGGAUUAGCUAGUUGGCGGGGUAAAGGCCCACCAAGGCGACGAUCCGUAGCUGGUCUGAGAGGAUGAUCAGUCACACUGGAACUGAGACACGGUCCAGACUCCUACGGGAGGCAGCAGUGGGGAAUAUUGGACAAUGGGCGCAAGCCUGAUCCAGCCAUGCCGCGUGGGUGAAGAAGGCCUUCGGAUUGUAAAGCCCUUUUGUUGGGAAAGAAAAGCAGCAGGUUAAUACCCCGCUGUUCUGACGGUACCCAAAGAAUAAGCACCGGCUAACUUCGUG